GCAUUAAUGGGGUAGUGGUAACCUGGGUCGUUGCCACCUCGAGAGCUGAUCUCGACCCGCCGGGGGUUCGAUUCCCUCUUAAUGCA
Molecule: non-coding RNA, 86 nt
Organism: Tephrocybe rancida
Lineage: Eukaryota; Fungi; Basidiomycota; Agaricomycetes; Agaricales; Lyophyllaceae
Source: the annotation of a GenBank genome assembly